CGUCUAGGCGGAUGUGUAAGUCAGGUGUGAAAUCCCCCGGCUCAACCGGGGAACUGCAUUUGAUACUGCAUGUCUUGAGUACGGGAGAGGGAAGCGGAAUUCCUGGUGUAGCGGUGAAAUGCGUAGAUAUCAGGAAGAACACCGGUGGCGAAGGCGGCUUCCUGGACCGUUACUGACGCUGAAGCGCGAAAGUGUGGGGAGCAAACAGGAUUAGAUACCCUGGUAGUCC
This 229-nucleotide ribosomal RNA is filed under the name uncultured bacterium. RNAcentral describes it as "partial 16S ribosomal RNA". It matches the Rfam family "Bacterial small subunit ribosomal RNA", at positions 568 to 796 of the family's 1533-position model. The record is from RNAcentral.